Ornithodoros turicata is the source of this 653-nucleotide long non-coding RNA. RefSeq lists it as uncharacterized. The record is from RefSeq and is a predicted model, not a curated record. Lineage: Eukaryota; Metazoa; Arthropoda; Arachnida; Ixodida; Argasidae. The transcript has 3 exons.
UUGUUGUUCUCACCUGAUGCUGUCGUUCUUGCAACCCGUCUGAUAUUGCAACUGUCUGUAAGUGGAAGCGUUUCUUCUAACCGCGAGCAGACCAGUCGGUCUCGUUUGACAUGUCAAAGAGUGAAGACGCUGCCUUGCAUGUGAAGCCAAAUCGUUCUUCGCCUUCAGGAUUCUUGCCGUUUCAGGGAUCUGCACAACGACAGGGAGAUAGAACGCCAAGAGAAGUCGACUGUAUGCUUUGUGCAGACGGUUCAGCGUGUAUGACGCAGCGGCCUCCAGCAAGAGAAACUCAAGCACCGUGUUCAAAUGCGGUGGGGACUCUUGCUCGACAUGACAACGCUUAGAAGUGCUUUUUCGGAAGAAGGACAAGUUGGACCGGAAAUGAGGACCUAGGUGUGCUCUUUUGCGUUGUUGUUCACCGUUCGAUCAUUACCAAUUUUCGUGCCCCCGUGAGUUCAACGCUCAGGUAUGUUGAUGAUAACUGGAUAUGCGUUAAAAGGUACGUACUCCGGAGUGGUGAAUUGUUGUGGUGAAGUGAUUUGUUGCUGCUAUCUCCUGUUUCGUGAGGGUUCUUGUCGGUACUCAUAUACCGCAGGCAUGAGGGGCUUUCUUUGCAGAACAUUUCAGUAAACCAAGACUGCAGCAUUUUCAAG